UAAAAGAAAAGUAACGUCAAACUCUUUGACGAAUUGACUCAUUGUGAGAUUUGAAUUGAUCAUGACUCUGAAGAAGGCUUAUACACUGUCAUAUAAUUUACACUGCCACACAAUCUUGCCUUGCCAAGGAACCUUUGGCAAAGCUAGUCACGCCAGCUUUGGGACAAGGAAAAUUUGUAACUUGACAAGUCUACAAGAAAUACUUCUGUGGUUUUGGUAAACAAAAGGUGGUGAAAACAUGAUAUAAAUGUGUUUAACAACACAAACAACAAAACUUAUUAUCAAGGGAAACUUGUCAAAGAAACUAACUUGUUGACCGUACACACGAGAAAGUAAACUUGUCAAAGGAAAUUUGUCAAGGGAAACGUGCUCGUAUGUACGGUGCCUUAAAGAAAUUAUAGAAGAUUUGUCUGAAAUUGGAGAAGAUGGAAGGAGGGUCAGCCUCAUUGAACUAUAAGUAAACAGGUACAGGUAUAGUAUGUAGUACUAUAGGUUUAUUUAUAGUUCAAUGGUCAGCCUUCAAGUUAGGUUAGCCAUAUUAUUCGAUAAUUAUAAUAUCAGUUAGCUAGAUGCCUAGAUUGUAGUGAAUCGCGAUAUUUAUCUAAUGUUGAUGGGGUUGUGAUUAAAUUUCUUUGUAUCCUGAUCCAUUCCUGUCAAAUUUUCCUGUGGGAAGAAACCGGAAUACGAACAACAGGCGGGAAGAUUACUAUUGUUUUGUAUAGAGUAUUCCCAUGGAUAAUUGUCCGAUGAUUCGAAUUUUAUGUUUCGAAAUGGAAUUUGAGGAAUCGAAUCCACAAUAUUCAAUAAUCAAUAUCGGUGCAACAUCAUUUGGUCAAAAUAACCACAUACGAAAUACAUUUGACUUCCUUUGGUAGAAACAAAUGAAACUGAAACAGGUCAAUG
Non-coding RNA from Paramuricea clavata, 903 nucleotides. The record is from the annotation of a GenBank genome assembly. NCBI's taxonomy places the organism in Eukaryota, Metazoa, Cnidaria, Anthozoa, Malacalcyonacea, Plexauridae.